UGGUAAACAGAGCUGUAAACCAACAGCGUGGAAGCUAGUGAGAAGGUCUUUGUCAGCGUCGAGAGAUCCAUGCUGUAUUUUUCAAUGGCCAUCUGGGGUAUAAGAGACAAGCACAGGAAUGUCCUGGUCCAGGCCAGCCUCUGAGGACUACACAAAGAGGACAUGCACCAAGUACUGAUGCUCACAAGUAAGAAA
Monopterus albus (swamp eel) is the source of this 195-nucleotide long non-coding RNA. RefSeq lists it as uncharacterized. The record is from RefSeq and is a predicted model, not a curated record. The transcript is spliced from 3 exons. NCBI's taxonomy places the organism in Eukaryota, Metazoa, Chordata, Actinopteri, Synbranchiformes, Synbranchidae.